UCGAGAAUCUUCGGCAAUGGGCGCAAGCCUGACCGAGCGACGCCGCGUGCGGGAUGAAGGUCUUCGGAUUGUAAACCGCUGUCGGAGGGGAUGAACUGCCGGAGAGUAAUUCAUAAUCUCUUCGGUUUGACAGAGCCUCGGAGGAAGCACGGGCUAAGUUCGUGCCAGCAGCCGCGGUAAUACGAACUGUGCGAACGUUAUUCGGAAUCACUGGGCUUAAAGGGUGCGUAGGCGGUCCGCCAAGUCCGGUGUGAAAUCCCCCGGCUCAACCGGGGAAUAGCGCUGGAAACUAGCGGGCUGGAGCGAGGCAGGGGUGUGUGGAACUUCCGGUGGAGCGGUGAAAUGUGUAGAUAUCGGAAGGAACGCCGGUGGCGAAAGCGGCACACUGGGCCUUGUCUGACGCUGAGGCACGAAAGCUAGGGGAGUGAACG
Molecule: ribosomal RNA, 431 nt
Filed under: uncultured Planctomyces sp.
Lineage: Bacteria; Pseudomonadati; Planctomycetota; Planctomycetia; Planctomycetales; Planctomycetaceae
Description: bacterial SSU rRNA
Rfam family: Bacterial small subunit ribosomal RNA
Source: RNAcentral